CCUACGGGGGGCUGCAGUGGGGAAUAUUGGACAAUGGGGGGAACCCUGAUCCAGCCAUGCCGCGUGUGUGAAGAAGGCCCUCGGGUUGUAAAGCACUUUCAGUGAGGAAGAACGCCUGGUGGUUAAUACCCAUCAGGAAAGACAUCACUCACAGAAGAAGCACCGGCUAACUCCGUGCCAGCAGCCGCGGUAAUACGGAGGGUGCGAGCGUUAAUCGGAAUUACUGGGCGUAAAGCGCGCGUAGGUGGCUUGAUAAGCCGGUUGUGAAAGCCCCGGGCUCAACCUGGGAACGGCAUCCGGAACUGUCAAGCUAGAGUGCAGGAGAGGAAGGUAGAAUUCCCGGUGUAGCGGUGCAAUGCGUAGAGAUCGGGAGGAAUACCAGUGGCGAAGGCGGCCUUCUGGACUGACACUGACACUGAGGUGCGAAAGCGUGGGUAGCAAACAGGAUUAGAUACCCGUGUAGUC
This 465-nucleotide ribosomal RNA is filed under the name Vreelandella stevensii. Its description in RNAcentral is "partial 16S ribosomal RNA". It matches the Rfam family "Bacterial small subunit ribosomal RNA", at positions 338 to 795 of the family's 1533-position model. The record is from RNAcentral. Lineage: Bacteria; Pseudomonadati; Pseudomonadota; Gammaproteobacteria; Oceanospirillales; Halomonadaceae.